UGGAAGCGUCUGGAAAGGCGCGCGAUACAGGGUGACAGCCCCGUACACAAAAAUGCACAUGCUGUGAGCUCGAUGAGUAGGGCGGGACACGUGGUAUCCUGUCUGAAUAUGGGGGGACCAUCCUCCAAGGCUAAAUACUCCUGACUGACCGAUAGUGAACCAGUACCGUGAGGGAAAGGCGAAAAGAACCCCGGCGAGGGGAGUGAAAAAGAACCUGAAACCGU
This 224-nucleotide ribosomal RNA is filed under the name Escherichia coli. Its description in RNAcentral is "partial 23S ribosomal RNA". It matches the Rfam family "Bacterial large subunit ribosomal RNA", at positions 333 to 559 of the family's 2925-position model. The record is from RNAcentral. Lineage: Bacteria; Pseudomonadati; Pseudomonadota; Gammaproteobacteria; Enterobacterales; Enterobacteriaceae.